This 437-nucleotide ribosomal RNA is filed under the name uncultured bacterium. RNAcentral's name for it is "partial 16S ribosomal RNA". It matches the Rfam family "Bacterial small subunit ribosomal RNA", at positions 29 to 507 of the family's 1533-position model. The record is from RNAcentral.
AGCGAACGCUGGCGGCAGGCUUAACACAUGCAAGUCGAGCGGGCAUCCUUGUGGUGUCAGCGGCAGACGGGUGAGUAACGCGUGGGAACGUGCCCUUCGGUUCGGAAUAACUCAGGGAAACUUGAGCUAAUACCGGAUACGUGCGAGAGCAGAAAGGUUUAUCUGCCGAAGGAUCGGCCCGCGUCUGAUUAGCUAGUUGGUGAGGUUACGGCUCACCAAGGCGACGAUCAGUAGCUGGUCUGAGAGGAUGAUCAGCCACACUGGGACUGAGACACGGCCCAGACUCCUACGGGAGGCAGCAGUGGGGAAUAUUGGACAAUGGGGGCAACCCUGAUCCAGCCAUGCCGCGUGAGUGAUGACGGCCUUAGGGUUGUAAAGCUCUUUUCUCCGGGACGAUAAUGACGGUACCGGGGGAAUAAGCCCCGGCUAACUUCGUG